This 331-nucleotide unclassified non-coding RNA is filed under the name soil metagenome. Its description in RNAcentral is "partial contains 5.8S ribosomal RNA, internal transcribed spacer 2, and large subunit ribosomal RNA". The stretch from base 1 to 120 matches the Rfam family "5.8S ribosomal RNA", at positions 35 to 154 of the family's 154-position model. The record is from RNAcentral.
GAUGAAGAACGCAGCGAAAUGCGAUAAGUAAUGUGAAUUGCAGAAUUCAGUGAAUCAUCGAAUCUUUGAACGCACAUUGCGCCCCCUGGUAUUCCGGGGGGCAUGCCUGUUCGAGCGUCAUUUCACCACUCAAGCCUCGCUUGGUAUUGGGCAACGCGGUCCGCCGCGUGCCUCAAAUCGACCGGCUGGGUCUUCUGUCCCCUAAGCGUUGUGGAAACUAUUCGCUAAAGGGUGUUCGGGAGGCUACGCCGUAAAACAACCCCAUUUCUAAGGUUGACCUUGGAUCAGGUAGGGAUACCCGCUGAACUUAAGCAUAUCAAUAAGCGGAGGA